Acanthosepion pharaonis is the source of this 111-nucleotide non-coding RNA. NCBI's taxonomy places the organism in Eukaryota, Metazoa, Mollusca, Cephalopoda, Sepiida, Sepiidae. The record is from the annotation of a GenBank genome assembly.
UGGCCAUAUCACAUUGAAAUACUGGUUCUCAUAUGAUUUCUGAAGUUAAGCAACAUUGAGUUUGGUCAGUACCUAGAUGAGUGGCUGCUCGGGAAUACCAAAUGUUGUAAG